RNAcentral lists this ribosomal RNA (1230 nucleotides) under Pseudomonas parafulva. RNAcentral's name for it is "bacterial SSU rRNA". It matches the Rfam family "Bacterial small subunit ribosomal RNA", at positions 24 to 1229 of the family's 1533-position model. Lineage: Bacteria; Pseudomonadati; Pseudomonadota; Gammaproteobacteria; Pseudomonadales; Pseudomonadaceae. The record is from RNAcentral.
GGGGAUUAAAGGGGGGGGUGUGGUUCCUGCUCGCACAUGCAGUCGAGCGGAUGAUGGGAGCUUGCUCCUGGAUUCAGCGGCGGACGGGUGAGUAAUGCCUAGGAAUCUGCCUGGUAGUGGGGGACAACGUUUCGAAAGGAACGCUAAUACCGCAUACGUCCUACGGGAGAAAGCAGGGGACCUUCGGGCCUUGCGCUAUCAGAUGAGCCUAGGUCGGAUUAGCUUGUUGGUGAGGUAAUGGCUCACCAAGGCGACGAUCCGUAACUGGUCUGAGAGGAUGAUCAGUCACACUGGAACUGAGACACGGUCCAGACUCCUACGGGAGGCAGCAGUGGGGAAUAUUGGACAAUGGGCGAAAGCCUGAUCCAGCCAUGCCGCGUGUGUGAAGAAGGUCUUCGGAUUGUAAAGCACUUUAAGUUGGGAGGAAGGGUUGUAGAUUAAUACUCUGCAAUUUUGACGUUACCGACAGAAUAAGCACCGGCUAACUCUGUGCCAGCAGCCGCGGUAAUACAGAGGGUGCAAGCGUUAAUCGGAAUUACUGGGCGUAAAGCGCGCGUAGGUGGUUUGUUAAGUUGGAUGUGAAAGCCCCGGGCUCAACCUGGGAACUGCAUCCAAAACUGGCAAGCUAGAGUACGGUAGAGGGUGGUGAAAUUUCCUGUGUAGCGGUGAAAUGCGUAGAUAUAGGAAGGAACACCAGUGGCGAAGGCGACCACCUGGACUGAUACUGACACUGAGGUGCGAAAGCGUGGGGGAGCAAACAGGAUUAGAUACCCUGGUAGUCCACGCCGUAAACGAUGUCAACUAGCCGUUGGAAUCCUUGAGAUUUAGUGGCGCAGCUUAACGCAUUAAGGUUGACCGGCCUGGGGGAGUACGGGCCGCAAGUUUAAAACUUCAAAUGAAUUGGACGGGGGCGCCCCGCAACAGCGGUGCAGCAUGUGGUUUAAUUUCGAAAGCAACGCGGAAGAAACCUUAACCAAGCCUUGGAAAGGGAAGAAACUUUCCCAGAAGAUGGAUUGGGUGCCUUCGGAACUCCUGACACAGGUGCCUGCAUGCUUUCGUCAGGCUCGGUCGAGAGAGUUGAGUUUAAGUCCAGUACCGGGCGCACCUUGCUCUUAGUUACCAGCCAGUUUAGGGCGGCCACUCAAAGACACGUCGCAGUAACAACACGGGAAAGGUGGAAUGACUCAGGCUCACUAGGGCUAAUUCACGCCCUGUGCGUGUCGUACUUCA